This 274-nucleotide ribosomal RNA is filed under the name uncultured bacterium. Its description in RNAcentral is "partial 16S ribosomal RNA". It matches the Rfam family "Bacterial small subunit ribosomal RNA", at positions 523 to 796 of the family's 1533-position model. The record is from RNAcentral.
AUACGGAGGGUGCAAGCGUUGUCCGGAUUUAUUGGGUUUAAAGGGUGUGUAGGCGGUGUAUUAAGUCAGUGGUGAAAGCCUGCGGCUCAACCGUAGAACUGCCAUUGAUACUGACACACUUGAGUUUGGUUGAGGUAGACGGAAUUUAUGGUGUAGCGGUGGAAUGCAUAGAUACCAUAAAGAACACCGAUAGCGAAAGCAGCUUACUAGGCCAUAACUGACGCUGAGGCACGAAAGCGUGGGGAGCGAACAGGAUUAGAAACCCCGGUAGUCC